This 370-nucleotide ribosomal RNA is filed under the name uncultured organism. RNAcentral's name for it is "partial 16S ribosomal RNA". It matches the Rfam family "Bacterial small subunit ribosomal RNA", at positions 527 to 896 of the family's 1533-position model. The record is from RNAcentral.
GUAGGGUGCGAGCGUUAAUCGGAAUUACUGGGCGUAAAGCGUGCGCAGGCGGUUCGCUAAGACCGAUGUGAAAUCCCCGGGGCUUAACCUGGGAACUGCAUUGGUGACUGGCGGGCUAGAGUAUGGCAGAGGGGGGUAGAAUUCCACGUGUAGCAGUGGAAUGCGUAGAGAUGUGGAGGAAUACCGAUGGCGAAGGCAGCCCCCUGGGCCAAUACUGACGCUCAUGCACGAAAGCGUGGGGAGCAAACAGGAUUAGAUACCCUGGUAGUCCACGCCCUAAACGAUGUCAACUAGUUGUCGGGUCUUCAUUGACUUGGUAACGUAGCUAACGCGUGAAGUUGACCGCCUGGGGAGUACGGUCGCAAGAUUA